This 325-nucleotide long non-coding RNA is filed under the name Phoenix dactylifera (date palm). RNAcentral describes it as "long non-coding RNA (PDAC_LNC016305)". Lineage: Eukaryota; Viridiplantae; Streptophyta; Magnoliopsida; Arecales; Arecaceae. The record is from RNAcentral.
UUUUGAAGGGCAAAACCGUGAGGGCAUUGGUCUCCCCCCGUCAGCGUUGGACGCGCGGGCCGGAGCGCCCAAAGCGGACAAUACCUCGGGAGGAACGCAGUCCUCUUUCUCUGCUAGCUUAAUGUGGGCUAUGCUGUUGCGUGAGGCUCCGGCCAAAGCGCCGUCCCCGCAAUAGAUGGCGCCGUCUGUGGGAAAGGCCCCCUUCGCCGUUGACUACCCCCCAGGACUGGGAGGCGCCACAGGAACCUUCCCGCUAGGGGGGCUAUGUUGCGGGGGGGGGAACCUGAACAUAGUCCCACAUCGGCCUAGUAGCGGAAAGGUUCUG